GUGCUCGCUUUGGCAGCACAUAUACUAAAACUGGAAUGAUACCCAGAAGAUUAGCAUGGCCCCUGCGCAAGGAAGACAUGCAAAUUCGGGAAGUGUUCCAUAUUUUU
This 107-nucleotide small nuclear RNA is filed under the name Chinchilla lanigera (long-tailed chinchilla). Lineage: Eukaryota; Metazoa; Chordata; Mammalia; Rodentia; Chinchillidae. The record is from RNAcentral.